CAUGAGGCCAUUAAUAUUACCAACAAAUUCAGCUUGAGAAACUCGGUCAUAUAUUCAAUGCUCGAGUUUCUCGAUAUAAUCUCGUUAUUCUGAACCACGUAACUCUGGAAAACAUGGUUCGAAGAUAAAGAUAAUGGUAAAGUUAUUUUUGAAAAAUCCAUUUCAACAUUUCCUGAUAAAAGAAAAUCAUUAAAGGGGACUCGCCUGUCGCUGACCGUUCUUAUAAAAUCUAUUUAAGAAUCUUGGUUUCGCAAUCGUGAUCGAAAUGGCGGUCUGGAAAUGACGGAGUAGCGAAGUAUGCGAGUGCGGAAAAUGACGUGAAUUACGCCGUAAUGCGAGUUACGGGUAUGAAGAAAAAAGGGUACGAAGAAGAAAAAAAAAAGGAAAUUGAUGCGUACGUUUGAAGUACAAAGAUGGCGAAAGGUUCUUUAUUAUUAUAGCCUGACCGACGAACAAAUUAUCAGGCUGGUCGCCUCGUUCUCCCUUGGAAUUUAAGUAGAUCUUAAGACGUUACUCGAUGUUGAAUGGCCAGUUAUCGUUAAUCGUUGAACCGCCCUUGCUGCUUACUUACCUUGGAAAAAGUUUUUAAUCGUCCGUAUGUUGAAGCGUGAAGGCGAAACGAUGCGACCGGCAUUCCGUGUUUCCAUUAGAAAAUAACUCUUCACGUCUUUUUCCUCCUUGAAGAAUCGCUGCCGAUCUUCCGAUACGCCAUUCAAAUCUUCGAUUUACUCUGAGUUUGAUAUACAAUAUAAUAUUCAUUUUUCAAAUCUACAAUUAAUAAGCUCUUUGUUCUUUACAUAUUGUAGAGAGAACACAAUGAUAUAAUUUUAUCCAUUUAUCUUAUCCGCUUCGUAACAUGAGAGGAUUUAGAAUCGAGGUGUUACGUCUCUUCUAAUUCUCAUCAGAUUACCGCAGACAAAUUACUUAUGUCAAAUAAUAGUUCAGCCUUAAAUAGAACCUUUCAUAAGCACGUGUCCCAAUUCGUCACAUUUGGUGAUAUUUCCAGAGUUGCGUGUUCCCUAAAAUGGUACACGGUCGUGAGACGCAUAAUCAAUUUUCAGCUCUCGUUUCGAUUAGGAAAAAAAAGAAACACUUGUGAAUUUCGAUACACUUUAGCGCUUUCCUGACGAAGAGGUGUAAUUGUAAAGUAUCAUAAUUGUAAGGACGUCGUAACGCAGAUCUCGCGUGGACCACUUGUUGUGCGAUUAACUAAUACAUUCCAUUAAGAGGAGCUGUGCAUCAGAAGGAGUGCAGGGUCCGAACGUACUGGUUUGUUUUCCCCAAUGAACCGCCACUUUUUUUGCGGGGAAAGGAAAGAAAAAGAGACGGGAGAAGUAAAAACGAUCGAACUAUAAUCGAUCAGUUGAUAGCCGUUGAUUGGGCACAGCACGUGGUACGGUAUGUGUUGUAAUUUAAGGUACGUUUUUCUAGACUUAGCUCUCGCGUGUUUUUAAGGUUUAACUCUAGCGAACGAAAAUAAGAAAGAAGGAUGUACAUGCAUGGGCGAGAUAGAGAGAGGGAGAGAGAGAGAGAGAGAGGAAAUAAUAAGACAUUUCUCUCCGACAUUUAGAUCGAGGACUCACGACAACGCACACAUAUUUUACGCACACGAGAACAGAGGGUGAAUAUGGGCGGGAGGAAGAGAGAGAAGGAAAAAUUAACGUAAGCAGCACACAAUGAAAGACGCGUACACGUACACGUAUAUCGAUUAUGCUAUGCGCGCACAACAUUCAACACGAUCACACAUUAUAACUUGUAUAAAGAAAUCGCCGUUAGCAUAACUACUACCUUCGCAGGGAGAUUGUGUAAAGAACAUUUUACAUGCACAUUUUCACACGCACCAUUCAUAUUCUCCCCGCGGCAUUAGUAUCCCUCUUUUACGUCUCUGCGCUCUUCGCUAUUAUCACCAAAUGAAAAUAAUCGACGGAAGAAGGGAGGGAAUUAUUGAGUUUCGAAGAAACGAUCGUGAUCGGAAAAGAAGAGAAAUCGUACGCUUCCUCGAAGAAAAUAGUUUCACGUUAUUUUUCUUAUAUAAUUUUGCAUAUCUAAAAAUUUUGUAUAUCCAAAAAUAUCCAUCGGAUAUUCAUACGAGGUGAUAUAUCUGCGAAAGUUAGUACCGGUACAAAGAAAUAUUUGCUUCAGGCGCAGCAAUACAAGAAAGAG
Molecule: long non-coding RNA, 2163 nt
Organism: Mycetomoellerius zeteki
Lineage: Eukaryota; Metazoa; Arthropoda; Insecta; Hymenoptera; Formicidae
Exons: 2
Source: RefSeq, a predicted model, not a curated record